CAGUAGCCACGGGAAUACGUAGGGUCCGAGCGUUGUCCGGAAUUAUUGGGCGUAAAGAGCUCGUAGGCGGUCUGUCGCGUCUGCCGUGAAAUCCUCAGGCUCGACCUGAGGCGUGCGGUGGGUACGGGCAGGCUAGAGUGCGGUAGGGGAGAAUGGAGCUCCUGGUGUAGCGGUGGAAUGUGCAGAUAUCAGGAAGAACACCGAUGGCGAAGGCAGUUCUCUGGGCCGUAACUGACGCUGAGGAGCGAAAGCGUGGGGAGCGAACAGGAUUAGAUACCCGGGUAGUCCCUGUCUCUUAUAU
This 301-nucleotide ribosomal RNA is filed under the name uncultured bacterium. Its description in RNAcentral is "partial 16S ribosomal RNA". It matches the Rfam family "Bacterial small subunit ribosomal RNA", at positions 509 to 809 of the family's 1533-position model. The record is from RNAcentral.